Molecule: transfer RNA, 73 nt
Filed under: Pseudogekko smaragdinus
Lineage: Eukaryota; Metazoa; Chordata; Lepidosauria; Squamata; Gekkonidae
Description: tRNA-Asn
Source: RNAcentral
CUAGACUAGCGGGCCUUGAUCCCACAAAAACUUAGUUAACAACUAAACACCCUAUCCAGCGGGCUUCAAUCUA